Molecule: long non-coding RNA, 999 nt
Filed under: Marmota monax (woodchuck)
Lineage: Eukaryota; Metazoa; Chordata; Mammalia; Rodentia; Sciuridae
Source: RNAcentral
ACAGGAGUACAGUGAGCCUAGAAAUCUCAGAGCAUUGAAGAGAUUAUCAGUGAAUUAAGUAACCUGGUAGUAUCCAUGAGCCUGAAAUGUGUACACUGUGCUUGUCUCCACAGUCUUAACUACUUCCCCCAUCUUCUUCCUCCUCUUCAUCUUCUCAACUCCAGAAAGUUGAAGGAACUUAGUCAUUCUUUCAACACAUUCUUCUGGAGUGCCUAUGUGCCACAUACUCCUUGGUUUUCAAAACGUAAAACAGUCAACAAAACCUAUGAUAUUCUCUUUUUUGAGGAACCUGCUGAGUGCCUUUAGUCAAAAUCUCCAGGAUAACCUCACUAACACUGGAGCAAACCAGGAUCAUCUACCUCUCCACAUGACACAUGGAGGACAUACCACUUCUGCAGUGUCCUGCCAAGACUGCGUGAUCUGAGUCCAAUUACAAGGGAUGAUCAGACAAACCCAAAUCUAUGGGCAGCUACAGAACUCAAGGUGGAAGAAAACAAAAAAAGAUUGAGGGCCUAUUCCAGAUUAAAGGAGGUUAAAGAUUCCUACUACUGAAACACAGCACAUGAUCCAGGAUUGGGUCCUGAUUAGGAAAAAAAAAAAGCCAUAAAAGACACAUUAGGUGAUAUUUGAUAUGGAUUAUUAAAUAGAUGUUAGUAUACAUAAGCAUUGUAUUUCCAGAUUCGGAUAGUUACAUGUUAUACUUAUAUACGUACAUAAUGUAUAUAAUACAUAUAAUAAAUAUACGAUAUAUAGAGAGAACAUAUGUAUACAGAUAGAGAGACAGAUACACAUGAAACAUGGAGGAAGAAAGAAGAAAGAGGGAGAGAUUUAAAUCACAUGGGACCAAAGGUACAAUAAAAACAACUGAUGAAUAUAGACAAAGAAUAUGUAGCAAUUCCUUGAUCUAGUCUUGUAAAUUUUCUGUAAGUUUAAAUUAUAUAAAAAUAAAAUGUUAAAAAAAAAUUUCCUACUCUAGGGGAACUCAACUCUGUGUUUGGG